This 253-nucleotide ribosomal RNA is filed under the name uncultured bacterium. RNAcentral's name for it is "partial 16S ribosomal RNA". It matches the Rfam family "Bacterial small subunit ribosomal RNA", at positions 524 to 776 of the family's 1533-position model. The record is from RNAcentral.
UACAGAGGGGGCAAGCGUUAUUCGGAAUUAUUGGGCGUAAAGGGCGCGUAGGCGGCCUUGCAAGUGGCGGGUGAAAUCCCUCGGCUUAACCGAGGAACUGCCUGCCAGACUGCAAGGCUCGAGACCGGGAGAGGUGAGUGGAAUUCCCAGUGUAGCGGUGAAAUGCGUAGAUAUCGGAAGGAACAUCAGUGGCGAAGGCGACUUCCUGGACCAAUACUGACGCUCAGGUGCGAAAGCGUGGGGAGCAAACAGG